CGUGCCAGCAGCGUCUAAUGCACGUCCUUCUUAUUGUGCUGUAAUUAAGAUGAUGACGUUGGUGAUGACACGAUGGCGCAGUUGAGCUAUUGGAUUUUAAGAGUGAUCUAAGCAACAUAAGUAAUUUACAGCAAUGAAGCUAAUAAGUAUAACCCGUAAAAACAAAGUUUUUCACUAUAAAUCCUUUAUAUGCGUGGCGGCUAGAGUCUUCUCGUCCUCUGGCUUGAGAUGGCUUGCCACCUAUGGGUCAGAUGAUUGUCUGCCAGUAUUAAGCAAUUGGUAAUUAAAUAUUUAAUUUGUUUUCCCUAAACAGUGUAAAAAUUUUGAAUUUUUUUUCACGAACAUUAAUUGUCUCACAACGAGUCUGUGUGCAAAAUGUCAGCUCGAUUGGAUCACGGGAAGUGGGUAAAAAAACGACCGAAAGAUUUGCACGGUCGCACGCACGCAAGCAAGCAAGCGAACUUAAUAUAAAGGAUUUAAAAAGUGAUUGAAGGAAAACAACUACGUCCCAUGAAAACCGCAAAUAUUGCAUUUUCAUAAUUAAUGGUUUAUAAAUUCUCUGUAGCCUGAGUCGAUUCGAUUAUUUUAGACUGAUCGUGGUAUAAUUACAAGUAACAUGAACAUUAAACAGAUAUAAGGUGGCUAUUGCACUCAACUGUAAACACGCGUGGAUAUUCGAGUCACGAGCAAUUGCAGGUGAAGUUAUCGUCAAGAAUCGACAGCUCGGCAUCGAAUUGCGAUGGAGAUGGGAGGGAAACCACGGACAUUUGUGAAGCGUUCGAAUUCCAGGCGUUUGGGGCAUUCCCAGAUGAUUGGGAACCACGUGUGCCAUGUGAAACUGGCCAAACAUCUCGGCGCAGGAUACUGGGAGAGAUUAGUGAGACUCGGUGACACUGCAGGAGGAGUGGCGCUGCGGUGAUCGGAGUCGUUAACGCGAGAACUGCGUCUACGCGCGGCAGUGAGAGACGCGAGCUGCUGGCAAAUCACGUGGCGAGGAUUCUCGUGAUGCCUUCGUCUGCUGCUGCCAUGGAGGAUCUGAGCGCUGUGAUGGACAUCUUUGUGUGCGAGUUCUGCGCCAACUGUGAAGGAGGCGCGGGGAGUGUCUCCAUGAGGAAGUACACGCUCCAGAAUCUGCUCGUGAAGCACAUGCGGCUCUACCUGGCGGGUGCAUAACCCGGAUGAAGUGCGCAAGAUCAUGGAAUCUUCACGAGACCCAAGGCGCCAGCGUGGACUUCCAAGCGUCUUAUUUGACAGACAACUGCUCUUUAGUUACUGUACAGUUUACUGAUAGACGGCCAGUUUUGUUUUAUCAUGUUUAGCUUUUUUCACACGCUGGUUUCCUGCUUUAAUUUUUACCCACCAAGCAACGUAGCAGGAGGCUGUUUCUUCCUGACCUGCUUUUUUGCUUUUACAUCCACAUGGCAGGGGAUCCGGUACCAUUUAGCAGCAGCUGCACUUUAACAACUCUGGCACCCCCCCCCUCAGCCAGUUAUGUAGACAAGCCGGAGCUUCAGCCACACCAACCUUGCCAUAAUAAUAAAACACGCCUAAUCCAGGGGCCUGCCCUGGCUCCUCCCCCCUCAACCAGUAUAUAUACGGGGUCAGAUCUCUUGGAAUUUCUCAUUUACUUGAUGCAGCGAGCGUGCUGUGACUGCUCCACCUGAAGACAGAGGCUUGUGUUGCCUCUGAAACGUCGUGAUUUAUAUUUUAUUUUUAUUUUACUUUCAAUAAUUUUAAUUUUUUUACCUACGCGACUUUACCGAAAAAACCCAAGAAUAUGGACUUCCAAGCUUUUGUGGACGGGGAUCCUCGUGGCCGGCCAUCCCCCGUUCCAGGAGUGUUCCUCCCCAAGGGGCCCUGUGGCCCACCCAUUUCUGCUGAUAAGCCCAAAUCAAUCUAUAUAUGAAAUCGCAAGUCUGUCUGUGUCGCCGGACCAUACGCAGUUUCAUUGGACGAAAUGUGAGGGAUUUGCGAAACAUGAUUGGUCCAUUUGGUUUACCACGGCGGUUGCCCCUGGCAACGGGUAGCGACGCAUUCGCUGCAGGGUGGACGCCAUUUUUAAUUCCUGUUAAAAAUAUGUGCACGCAUUAACACGCGACUGAGGUAAAUUCAUCAGUUUCACGUCCUCUUCACUCCCCCCCCCCCCCUCCCCCCACCACAAUGUGUGCAAUUACUAUUAUAGGGUCGGUAAAUAAUAAAAUUGUAGCGAUUACACAGUAUUAUUGUAAUGCGCGGGGGGGGGGGGGGGUAACGGCCCCAGUACCCAGCCUCAGCUGGUUGGGCAAUUUAGGCGAGGCCGGAGGCUCUGCACGGUACUAGGCCUCGACACCCCACCACACUAUAGGCCGUACAUACUACUGCACAGCGGCUGAGGAGAUCAUGGCUGGGGGGGGGGGGCAGGGGUAGCAGCCCAUCUGUGUAUAUAUGUAAGGUUAUUAAAAAAUAUAUUUUUCACCUGGGCAACGCUGGGUACUUCUGCUAGUUUAUAUAUAAAAUGAAGACUAAUAAAA
Molecule: long non-coding RNA, 2510 nt
Organism: Lethenteron reissneri (Far Eastern brook lamprey)
Lineage: Eukaryota; Metazoa; Chordata; Hyperoartia; Petromyzontiformes; Petromyzontidae
Source: RefSeq, a predicted model, not a curated record